GUUAAUUAUGAACCUGUAGGUAGCCUUAUAUCCCUCUGUUAAUUAUGAACCUGUAGGUAGCCUUAUAUCCCUCUGUUAAUUAUGAACCUGUAGGUAGCCUUAUAUCCCUCUGUUAAUUAUGAACCUGUAGGUAGCCUUAUUUCCUCUGUUAAUUAUGAACCUGUA
Molecule: non-coding RNA, 165 nt
Organism: Salvelinus sp. IW2-2015
Lineage: Eukaryota; Metazoa; Chordata; Actinopteri; Salmoniformes; Salmonidae
Source: RefSeq, a predicted model, not a curated record